Monomorium pharaonis (pharaoh ant) is the source of this 1685-nucleotide long non-coding RNA. RefSeq lists it as uncharacterized. The transcript is spliced from 3 exons. The record is from RefSeq and is a predicted model, not a curated record. Lineage: Eukaryota; Metazoa; Arthropoda; Insecta; Hymenoptera; Formicidae.
AUAUGUUUCAAUUAUUUACACGCAAUAUAUAUGCUUUGAAAAUUUUUUGCAAUAGUCAAAAGGAACUUAUUAUUUUUUCCCUAAUUUUUUGUCAAUUUAGCAACGUUCUUUUUCGACUGUAAACUGUAAAACAUUUUCAAAGCGAUGAUACGUAUAUACUGAUUCAAUAAUUGAAAUAUGAAUAUUCUAAAACUAAGGGUUCCGUUAUUCACUGUAAGUACUGGCGCUAUGAUGUCACGGAAGUAUACUGCAGGUGUCGUUCCGAUUUAGUUUCGUGCACUUUCAAACUGCUGUAAGGUUGUAAAACGGAACGCAUUCGCAGUACAUUUUUUUACUGCGCACAUCAAUUUUCCUAUAAUCUAACCUAUAACCUAUAAGUUACUUAUUAUUUUGUGAAAAAUGAGUAGAAUAAAUAAAUAAAAAAUAAUUGCAUUGAUUACAUAUACAUUAAUAAAAAAUGCAGAUGAUUCAAGUGAUUCUAGUGACGAUGAAUUAAAUAUAGAGAUGUUAAACUUUCAAACUCGAGUACCAAGAAUACGGUGCAAAAAUUAUGUUGAAAAUAUUGUACCAUUAUAUUCGGAUAUGGAAUUUAAAACUCAUUUUCGGUUAUUAAAUAUAGAGUUAUUAAAUAUAAAACAUGAAAUAUUAAAGAUUAAACAUUUAUGUAUUAAUUCAUUAUUUUUUAAACAUAGAAUGAGACGCACUACUUUUUAAUUUUUGUUAGAAUUAUUAACUCCACAUCUAACAAAACGCUUAGAAAGAUUUGGUCGCCAUCAAAUAACGCCUGAAAAACAAUUAUUAUUAAGUAUUUGGAUGAUGGCAACUCCUAAUUCAUACAGAUGUGUAAGUGACAGAUUUGACGUUGUACGAGCAACAGCAUGGAGAAGUGUUAGAAGAGUAUAGUUUCUGCUUUGCAUUCUCAUUUACAUACAUUUAUAUCAUGGCCAUCACCAGAAGAAGCAAAAGCUACAUCGACACUUAUACAAAUAAAGUAUGGAUUUCCAAAAGUAAUAGGUGUAAUUGACGGCACUCACGUAAAAAUAGCAGCACAAAAACAAAUCCGAAAAGUUACAUGAACAGGAAAGACUUUCAUUCAAUCCAGCUAUAAGUUGUAUGUGAUGCUCAUCUUAAAUUUUUACAUUGUUAUACUAGACAAGUUGGUUCAAUACAUGAUAUGAGGAUCUUUCGACUAUCGCAUUUUCAAGAUUAUAUGUGUACAGAUGAAAAAUUCCUGGAGAAUAGUCAUCUACUAGAAGAUUCUGCAUAUGGUAUCCAAAAAUAUAUUAUGGUACCUUUUAAGGACAAUGGACAUUUGACAGAUAUUGAAAUAAACUAUAACAGAAUACAUUCUUCCGCACGCAUGAUAGUCGAAAUGAAAGGUCAAGAAAACGCAUGAAAGGUCAUUAGGACUUUUAAAAGGACAAUUUAGAAGUAUUCUAGAUACUUUACCAAUGACCAGAACAGAUUUAAUAUUUAAAUAUAUUAUAGCAUGUUGUUUAUUGCAUAAUAUUUGUUUACUGCAUGACGACAUGAUAGAUAUACCAAUUAUUGUAAAUAACCCACAAUAUGCUGAAAAAAUAAUAUUAAUGUUUGUGACAAAGAAGAAGGUAUUCAAAAACGAAAUUUUAUAGCUCAAGGUUUAAUGAAUCCUCAACAUUUUAUAAAUUAAUCUUUUUUAAAUAUGU